AGCCGCGUGAUGUACAGCAUAUAAAAUUGCAAAUUUUAAAGAGCGACCUAAUUUUCGCCGGGGCUU
RNAcentral lists this transfer RNA (66 nucleotides) under Ambystoma talpoideum (mole salamander). RNAcentral describes it as "tRNA-Cys". The record is from RNAcentral. Lineage: Eukaryota; Metazoa; Chordata; Amphibia; Caudata; Ambystomatidae.